RNAcentral lists this ribosomal RNA (253 nucleotides) under uncultured bacterium. Its description in RNAcentral is "partial 16S ribosomal RNA". It matches the Rfam family "Bacterial small subunit ribosomal RNA", at positions 524 to 776 of the family's 1533-position model. The record is from RNAcentral.
UACGUAGGGGGCUAGCGUUGUCCGGAAUCAUUGGGCGUAAAGAGCGUGUAGGCGGCCCGGUAAGUCCGCUGUGAAAGCCUGGGGCUCAACUCCAGAAUUGCCUUUGAAACGGGGACGCUUGAGUCCGAGAGAGGGUGGCGGAAUUCCUAGUGUAGAGGUGAAAUUCGUAGAUAUUAGGAAGGACACCAGUGGCGAAGGCGGCCACCUGGCUCGGUACUGACGCUCAGGUUCGAAAGCGUGGGGAGCAAACAGG